UACAGAGGUCUCAAGCGUUGUUCGGAUUCAUUGGGCGUAAAGGGUGUGUAGGUGGCGCCGUAAGUCGGGUGUGAAAUUUCGGAGCUUAACUCCGAAACUGCAUUCGAUACUGCGGUGCUUGAGGACUGGAGAGGAGACUGGAAUUCACGGUGUAGCGGUGAAAUGCGUAGAUAUCGUAAGGAAGACCAGUGGCGAAGGCGGGUCUCUGGACAGUUCCUGACGCUGAGGCACGAAGGCCAGGGGAGCAAACGGG
RNAcentral lists this ribosomal RNA (253 nucleotides) under uncultured bacterium. Its description in RNAcentral is "partial 16S ribosomal RNA". It matches the Rfam family "Bacterial small subunit ribosomal RNA", at positions 524 to 776 of the family's 1533-position model. The record is from RNAcentral.